This 497-nucleotide ribosomal RNA is filed under the name uncultured bacterium. Its description in RNAcentral is "partial 16S ribosomal RNA". It matches the Rfam family "Bacterial small subunit ribosomal RNA", at positions 28 to 523 of the family's 1533-position model. The record is from RNAcentral.
GAUGAACGCUGGCGGCGUGCCUAACACAUGCAAGUCGAGCGAGCAAUCUUUAAACAAAUCUUCGGAAGAGAGAUGAGAUGGAAAGCGGCGGACGGGUGAGUAACGCGUAGGCAACAUGCCCCAUACAGAGGGAUAGCCUCGGGAAACCGGGAUUAAAACCUCCUAACCCGGCAGAUUCCCAUGUUUCUUCCGUCAAAGAUUUCUCGGUAUGGGAUGGGCCUGCGUGGGAUUAGCGAGUUGGUAAGGUAACGGCUUAACAAGGCAACGAUCAGUAGCCCACCUGAGAGGGUAAUCGGCCACAUUGCAACUGAGACACGGUCCAAACUCCUACGGGAGGCAGCAGUGGGGAAUAUUGCACAAUGGGCGAAAGCCUGAUGCAGCAACGCCGCGUGGGCGAUGAAGGCCUUUGGGUCGUAAAGCUCUGUCCUUGGGGAAGAAAAAAAUGACGGUACCCUUGGAGGAAGCCCCGGCUAACUACGUGCCAGCAGCCGCCGUAA